AACUCUUGACAACGGAUCACUUGGCUCUCGCAUCGAUGAAGAACACAGCGAAAUGUGAUAAGUAAUGUGAAUUGCAGAAUUCAGUGAAUCAUCGAAUCUUUGAACGCACCUUGCACCCUUUGGAAUGCUCCAAAGGGUAUGCUCGUUUGAGUGUCAUUGUACUCUCACACUCUCUGAUCCUUUGGAUUGGGGAGCGGUGGACUUGGGUGCUUGCUGCUUCCUUGUGGCUCACCUGAAAUGCGUCAGUGCAUCUCUUGAUUGGACAUAGUACGGCGUGAUAAGUGUCUUCGCCGGCACCUCGUAAGAGGGUGGCUGAUCGGGAGCUCUGUGCUUUCAAACCGUCUUCGGACAAUCCCUGACAACUUGACCUCAAAUCGAGUAGGACUACCCGCUGAACUUAAGCAUAUCAAUAAGCGGAGGCU
This 422-nucleotide unclassified non-coding RNA is filed under the name uncultured Sebacinaceae. RNAcentral's name for it is "sequence contains ITS2". The stretch from base 1 to 156 matches the Rfam family "5.8S ribosomal RNA". The record is from RNAcentral. Lineage: Eukaryota; Fungi; Basidiomycota; Agaricomycetes; Sebacinales; Sebacinaceae.